Molecule: ribosomal RNA, 459 nt
Filed under: uncultured bacterium
Lineage: Bacteria
Description: partial 16S ribosomal RNA
Rfam family: Bacterial small subunit ribosomal RNA
Source: RNAcentral
CUACGGGUUGCAGCAGUAAGGAAUAUUGCGCAAUGGAGGCAACUCUGACGCAGCCAUGCCGCGUGCAGGAAGAAGGCCUUAUGGGUCGUAAACUGCUUUUAUUUAGGAAUAAACCCUCGCUCGUGAGCGAGGCUGAAGGUACUGAAUGAAUAAGCACCGGCUAACUCCGUGCCAGCAGCCGCGGUAAUACGGAGGGUGCAAGCGUUAUCCGGAUUUAUUGGGUUUAAAGGGUGCGCAGGCGGGCUAUUAAGUCAGUGGUGAAAUCCCGGGGCUCAACUCCGGAACUGCCAUUGAUACUGAUAGUCUUGAGUUUGGUUGAAGUGGGCGGAAUGUAGCAUGUAGCGGUGAUAUGCAUAGAUAUGCUACAGAACACCAAUCGCGAAGGCAGCUCACUAAGCCAAAACUGACGCUCAUGCACGAAAGCGUGGGGAUCAAACAGGAUUAGAUACCCUAGUAGUC